RNAcentral lists this ribosomal RNA (253 nucleotides) under uncultured bacterium. RNAcentral's name for it is "partial 16S ribosomal RNA". It matches the Rfam family "Bacterial small subunit ribosomal RNA", at positions 524 to 776 of the family's 1533-position model. The record is from RNAcentral.
UACGAAGGGGGCUAGCGUUGUUCGGAAUUACUGGGCGUAAAGCGCACGUAGGCGGGCUAUUAAGUCAGGGGUGAAAUCCCGGAGCUCAACUCCGGAACUGCCUUUGAUACUGGUAAUCUAGAGAUCGGAAGAGGUUAGUGGAAUUCCCAGUGUAGAGGUGAAAUUCGUAGAUAUUGGGAAGAACACCAGUGGCGAAGGCGGCUAACUGGUCCGAUACUGACGCUGAGGUGCGAAAGCGUGGGGAGCAAACAGG